RNAcentral lists this ribosomal RNA (253 nucleotides) under uncultured bacterium. RNAcentral's name for it is "partial 16S ribosomal RNA". It matches the Rfam family "Bacterial small subunit ribosomal RNA", at positions 524 to 776 of the family's 1533-position model. The record is from RNAcentral.
UACGUAGGUGGCGAGCGUUGUCCGGAUUUAUUGGGCGUAAAGGGCGCGUAGGCGGCCACGCACGUCCGUUGUGAAAUCGCCCGGCUCAACUGGGCGGGGUCGGCGGAUACGGCGUGGCUGGAGCAAGCUAGGGGGCAAUGGAAUUCCCGGUGUAGUGGUGGAAUGCGUAGAUAUGCGGAGGAACACCGAUGGCGAAGGCAAUCCCCUGGGCCUGUACUGACGCUCAUGCACGAAAGCGUGGGGAGCAAACAGG